UACGAAGGGGGCUAGCGUUGUUCGGAAUCACUGGGCGUAAAGGGCGCGUAGGCGGCUUUAUAAGUCGGGGGUGAAAUCCCCAGGCUCAACCUGGGAACUGCAUCCGAUACUGGAUGGCUUGAAUUCGGGAGAGGGAUGCAGAAUUCCAGGUGUAGCGGUGAAAUGCGUAGAUAUCUGGAGGAAUACCGGUGGCGAAGGCGGCAUCCUGGACCGACAUUGACGCUGAUGAGCGAAAGCUAGGGGAGCAAACGGG
Molecule: ribosomal RNA, 253 nt
Filed under: uncultured bacterium
Lineage: Bacteria
Description: partial 16S ribosomal RNA
Rfam family: Bacterial small subunit ribosomal RNA
Source: RNAcentral